RNAcentral lists this ribosomal RNA (429 nucleotides) under uncultured bacterium. RNAcentral describes it as "bacterial SSU rRNA". It matches the Rfam family "Bacterial small subunit ribosomal RNA", at positions 355 to 776 of the family's 1533-position model. The record is from RNAcentral.
UGGGGAAUAUUGGACAAUGGGCGAAAGCCUGAUCCAGCAAUACCGCGUGUGUGACGAAGGCCUUCGGGUCGUAAAGCACUUUCAGUAGGGAAGAUGGCAGAUGUGUUAAUAGCGCAAUCUGUUGACGUUACCUACAAAAGAAGCACCGGCUAACUCUGUGCCAGCAGCCGCGGUAAGACAGAGGGUGCGAGCGUUAAUCGGAAUUACUGGGCGUAAAGCGCAUGUAGGCGGAUGUUUAAGUCAGAUGUGAAAGCCCGGAGCUUAACUCCGGAACUGCAUUUGAUACUGGGCAUCUAGAGUAUGGUAGAGGAAAGUGGAAUUUCUGGUGUAGCGGUGAAAUGCAUAGAUAUCAGAAGGAACAUCAGUGGCGAAGGCGGCUUUCUGGACCAAUACUGACGCUGAGAUGCGAAAGCGUGGGGAGCAAACAGG